Molecule: ribosomal RNA, 467 nt
Filed under: uncultured bacterium
Lineage: Bacteria
Description: partial 16S ribosomal RNA
Rfam family: Bacterial small subunit ribosomal RNA
Source: RNAcentral
GACGAACGCUGGCGGCGUGCUUAACACAUGCAAGUCGAACGGAAAGGCCUCUUUCGGGGGGUACUCGAGUGGCGAACGGGUGAGUAACACGUGAGUAACCUGCCCUUGACUUUGGGAUAACUUCAGGCAACUGGGGCUAAUACCGGAUAGGAGCUCCUGCUGCACGGUGGGGGUUGGAAAGUUUCGGCGGGUGGGGGUGGACUCGCGGCUUAUCCGCUUGUUGGUGGGGAAGUGGCUUACCAAGGCUUUGACGGGUAGCCGGCCUGCGAGGGUGACCGGCCACAUUGGGACUGAGAGACGGCCCAGGCUCCUACGGGAGGCAGCAGGGGGGAAUAUUGCACAAGGGGUGGAAGCCGGAUGCAGCAACGCCGUGUGCGGGAUGACGGCCUUCGGGUUGUAAACCGCUUUCGCUCAUGACGAAGCUUUGUGUGACGGUAGUGGGUAAAGAAGCACCGGCUAACUACGUG